UUUUCUUUUUACUUUUUAUUGGUACAUUUUCCCCCCUUUUAAAGAUAUUGAGAUUAAAAAUGUCCAAGCCUGUUCAGAGAAGAAAACCUUCUCAAAAUAAAUAAGAAACAAGAAAGGAAGUCAGCUAUAGUGCACCAUCUGCUGCCAGUCCUCUUGUAAAAUAUGUUCCAGUUAACAGAGAGUACAUUUACAGCAACACUUUGUCACUGUUCACUCUCAUCUGCUUACAUACUAAACAAAUACCAUCUUGGCACAAAGACAGACAUAUGUUCAAAGAAGGAAGAGCCAUUUGUCAUAGCGUCAUCUGAGUUUAUGAAGGAGAGAGCCGCCACCUCAGCUGAAUUAAACCCCUAGAACCCCUCUGCUUUUGAAGAAAACCCAUCACUUACUGCCUCCCAGACAAUCCUGUCAACAAGCACUCUGGUUCUGGAGGUCCAUACUGUAUUUUGGUCUGUGCACCUGACUACAGUAUCUCUGAGGAUAGCUUCACCAACCACUCAUAUCCUAGCCUAUGAACUGGUACGUGACUCUCUCCUCCAGAACCACCAGCCACCACACACAAGCUUUUAUGGGAGCUCAUCUGAAUGACCAGUUUGUUUUCUUCACCCUUCACAAAUCUUGUUCCUAAAGUGUCUGGUCUGAAAUCAAUAAGCUGAAGACACUUGAAGCUUCUCAGGAUCAACAAUUGGCCAAAAUAUCGCUGGAAGUCGGCAGCCAGAUGCUAGCCUGCAAAAGAGGAGACCUUCCCUAGAUUUCUUCACCCUUGCAGGGUGUUCACAUGGAAAGUUCUUACAUAAAACAGCAGGUCCACAUUUGCCAGACUGAAAAUCACUUUAGUUUCAAACUGAAGCUUAGAAACCUAUUUUGGCUAGGUUGUAGAGCACUUUAAAUAUACCAAGUGCUACAUGAAGUGCCAAGUAUUGGAAAACUACUAAUGCAGCCAAGAACAGAUGCUAGACGCCAGCUUUUCCAAGCUAAGCACAGGACUAUGUUGGUAUGGCCUCACAUUUAGAAAUAUCAGAUGUGUCCACAGGCACAAGGCCAGCCCCACACAGUGGUGCAAUCAGUGUAUAUUAAUACUUUCUGUACCCAGUUCAGAGACUUGCAUAGAUUGCAUACCUUGAAGAUGGAAUUCCAGCCAAAAGGAUUAGCAAAUGGAUUAUAAGUAACUCCAAAUAUUUGUUAUUUUAUUAAAUAUGCCUGCUCUCAGCUGGCAUCUCAUUCUGAAUAUCAGCAAGCAUUAAAACUGAGAAACAUUUUGUUAGUGUUCAAUUUCCUACUGAGAGUUCAAAAUGUAUUUUUAAAUUUAAGGCAGGUUGGGGUUUUUGUGGCUUUAUUUGUAAAAAAAAAAAAAAAAGAAAAAAAAGAAAAAUUAAAAACUGCAUAGUUCCAGGUUUUCUCCACUCUCAGCUGAAAGGAACAAUUUUUCUGGUACCUCCAAACCUUGGGACAGAAUUAUCAUACUUGUUUUUUUUCUGAGUAGGAAAUGCAUCCAAAGUAAAGUGGCAAAGCUUGAGUGUCCUUUCAUAUGGACGCAAACCAAAAGCAAUUCCAGUACAGAGAAUAAAAAAGUCCUGAAAAACUGAAUCUCUCCACAGGGUUUGUAAAUGUGGGGUUUCAUCCAUGAACUCAAGUUGAAAGGUUC
Molecule: long non-coding RNA, 1645 nt
Organism: Strigops habroptila (Kakapo)
Lineage: Eukaryota; Metazoa; Chordata; Aves; Psittaciformes; Psittacidae
Source: Ensembl